AUUUCAUUUAGCUUAUUUUUUUUACCUUACUUAUUUUAGUUUUAGUUCAUGUGAAUAUAUAUAUAUAUAUAUAUAUAUGUAUAUAUAAAUAUCAUUGUUUUUCUAUCAUUAUUAUUAUCUCCUUUAAACAAACACUAAACAAUAAAAAAUAAAUGGCAAAAGUAAAAAUGGGUCAACGUGCUGCAAAAAGAAAAGAGCUGCCUAUAUCACGUGAUGGUGAUACUAACUAAAUAGGGCAAGUUGCAGAUAUGUAAGAAAGGUGGGAAAGCCAAAGCAAAAGAAGAGAGCAUGGAAGAGGAAAAUGAGAGGGAUGGAACCCAGUUUAAUUUGUUGCUAGAGUUGACCAUCGUCAAUCAACAGCAACAAGAGACAAGGAAGCUUGCAUUAUAUUGGCUUUUCUUUUCGGGCGCGUUUAUUAUGGACCAGUUUUGUCUGGUCCAUGGUUGCACCACCUGCUUUUUACCUUCUACUGCAGGUUUAGCAGGGAAGACAGCAAAUUAAAUUAAUCAUCAAUCUUCCUCUUCUCUACGUUUUGUUAGUUGUUACGCAGACAGGAAGCACUACUCCUCCUCCACUAUGCAGGUAACCAAUCUCCUCUUCCUCUCUAGAACUUCAUCUUCCUAUUUUCUCUAUUUGAGACAGCCAAGCGCUCUUUCCACUCUACAGGUAGGUAACCAAGAUUUGUUUGGUGACAAUGUUAUCAAUUGAUAUUUGUUUGGUGACAAUGUUAUCAAUUGGAUUCAGUUUUGUGUUUGUUGGGAACAGAGCUAGAAUAUAGUUGUGAUGAUUCUAUUUGACAUGUAUUUAUUUGUACUCAUUUAUCCUAAUCUUGUUUUAAAUUAAGUAUCCGUUUGUUAUAUCUUAUUGAUAUUUUUAGUUAGUUUUCUGUUUAUCUCCUUUUUAGUUACAAAUGCAUGUUUAAUCUCAACCGUAAAAAUCCAAAAAAAAAAAUUCAUUUAUUUUCAAAAUCCAAAAACAUCAUAAAAUACAAAAAAAAAAUUAUCUUUUCCGAUCCAAAAAAUCAAGAUUAACUUUUCUUUCAAAAAUCUAU
Lotus japonicus is the source of this 1051-nucleotide long non-coding RNA. RefSeq lists it as uncharacterized. The transcript is spliced from 3 exons. NCBI's taxonomy places the organism in Eukaryota, Viridiplantae, Streptophyta, Magnoliopsida, Fabales, Fabaceae. The record is from RefSeq and is a predicted model, not a curated record.